CAGACUCCUGUCUUACCUCGGAUUUCGGUGCUGUCAGUCUGAAAAACAGACGUCCAUUUGGUACUCUAGACGGACUGUCCUUCCCUGAUCUAAAGCUGGGCCAUUUGGAGAUUUGGAGAACAAAGGACUGUCUUCCACAUCCUGACACCCGACCCGACACCCACUUGACACUACUGUGGAUAAUGCAAGAACAAAGGAAUGAACAGCAGAAAGUAAGAGAGAGAGAGAGAGGGAACCAAAAGAAGAAAGUUC
This 252-nucleotide long non-coding RNA is filed under the name Ursus americanus (American black bear). Its description in RNAcentral is "lncRNA (ENSUAMG00000024258.1)". The stretch from base 4 to 125 matches the Rfam family "Pvt1 oncogene conserved region 5". The record is from RNAcentral. Lineage: Eukaryota; Metazoa; Chordata; Mammalia; Carnivora; Ursidae.